CAUAAUUCUUUUUUUCUUCCUCUCUCCUCUCUCUCUUCACUCUCUCUAGUCGCCGCCCCUCCGCCGCCGCCAAAAAUCGCCCACUAGCGGCGGACCACCUCCAAACACCUCCAAAUUCACACCAUGUAAUCUCCACAACCUCCUCUUUCCAUAUCGCCAAGCCAAAUCCUUCAAAACCCUCUCAAACUCCUUAAAUCUUAGAUCUAGGAAACUUUAGCCGUCACUUUUUUUGCCCAAAUUCUUGGAGCUCCGGCCACUACCACUCUCACAAUACCUACAUCAAUGGAUAGAGCUUCUCAAGACCUACCUAUUGAUGUCAAUUUCACAUCGAAAAUUCGGCGAUCAAAAAUCGAGCCAAAUUCCGGCGACCUCCCCGAAUGCCCUCGUUUGGCAUACCACCAUUGUUUCGGCCACUUGAAUUGUGAAAUGGUAAAAAUACUAUUUGUUUAUUCAUGCCUGAUUUUUUAUUUUAUUUUUAUCUUUUUAGAUUUUAUUUUGUCUCUUAUUAAUUAUUUUAUCAUUAGAUUUUGAAGUUUGAAAUGCUAAAUAUUCUGUUUUUGUACUUGUUGAAGUAGUAAAAUAGUUUUGUAUUGAUAGAAGUGAGGUAAUGAGGAAUACUUGACAGUAUAGGGUACCUGUGUGGUUGCUUAUUUACUGCUUCAAGACUUUUUGAGUACAAAACUCAAAAGUCAUUUGUUUGGUAAGAAAAUAUAGACUUUUGAACAGUUUUUGAACAAAAGUCUUUUUUUGAAUAGUGAAGAGCAGAUUUUGGUUAAAAUACUCUCUUUUGGACAGGAUUGAAUAAAAAAGUCUUGCCUUUUGAAUUUAAGUGCAUAUUUUGUGAAAAUAUUUGUCAAAAAAGACUGACUUUUAAUCAUGAAAUAGCUGGUUAUUUCACAUAUAUAAAAAUACUUCUUUAUAGUAGUAGGAGAGAUCUAGACACACAAAAAAAAGGGAGAGAAAAAUCAGCAGCUAAAGCAUCCUUUAACGACUAAAAUUUCGAGUUUUUGUGAGUUGAUUCUUAAGUGCAAAACUUUUUUUAAAAGAAAAUAUAGUAGUCUUGAAAGCUUCCUCCGGAGUUACAUAAUUGUUGUUUUCAACUGUUUUGCUGGGUAAUUCUGGUUUCAUUUUUCUUGGGUUUGAAAUCUACUGGUUGUCGCUGUCUUUUGCUGUGCUGCUGCCCGUUUCAUUAUUCUGUUGUCCGCUUCUUGAUUUUAGAAAGAGCUGACUUUGCUGUAUUUAUUCUUCUUUCUGCUGUCCGGGUAAUAUUCAGACCAUGUAAAGUCCUAAAAUCGAGUUGGAAUGAAAGACAAUGAUGUUGGGAAAUAUUUUUUGCUUC
Molecule: long non-coding RNA, 1339 nt
Filed under: Nicotiana tabacum (common tobacco)
Lineage: Eukaryota; Viridiplantae; Streptophyta; Magnoliopsida; Solanales; Solanaceae
Description: long non-coding RNA (NTAB_LNC011867)
Source: RNAcentral